Molecule: ribosomal RNA, 580 nt
Filed under: uncultured bacterium
Lineage: Bacteria
Description: bacterial SSU rRNA
Rfam family: Bacterial small subunit ribosomal RNA
Source: RNAcentral
ACGCUGGCGGCGUGCCUAACACAUGCAAGUCGAGCGAGAAAGUGGAGCAAUCCAUGAGUAAAGCGGCGCACGGGUGAGUAACACGUGACUAACCUACCCUUGAGUGGGGAAUAACCUGGGGAAACCCGGGCUAAUACCGCAUAACACCUACGGGUCAAAGGAGCAAUUCGCUUAAGGAGGGGGUCGCGGCAGAUUAGUUAGUUGGCGGGGUAAAGGCCCACCAAGACGAUGAUCUGUAUCCGGCCUGAGAGGGCGCACGGACACACUGGAACUGAAACACGGUCCAGACUCCUACGGGAGGCAGCAGUGGGGAAUUUUGCGCAAUGGGGGAAACCCUGACGCAGCAACGCCGCGUGGAGGAUGAAGUCCCUUGGGACGUAAACUCCUUUCGACCGGGACGAUAAUGACGGUACCGGAAGAAGAAGCCCCGGCUAACUUCGUGCCAGCAGCCGCGGUAAUACGAGGGGGGCGAGCGUUGUUCGGAAUUAUUGGGCGUAAAGGGUGCGUAGGCGGUUCCGCAAGUCCUGUGUGAAAUCUUCGGGCUCAACUCGAAGCCUGCACGGGAAACUGCGGGGCUUGA